GACGAGGGGUCCUAGCGUUGUUCGGAAUCAUUGGGCGUAAAGCGUAGGUAGGUGGCUAUCUAAGUCAGGUGUGAAAUCCCCGGGCUCAACCCGGGAAGUGCAUUUGAUACUGGAUAGCUUGAGUAUGGGAGAGGAUAGUGGAAUUCCUGGUGUAGUGGUGAAAUACGUAGAUAUCAGGAGGAACACCGGUGGCGAAGGCGGCUAUCUGGCCCUAUACUGACGCUGAGCUACGAAAGCGUGGGGAUCAAACAGG
This 253-nucleotide ribosomal RNA is filed under the name uncultured bacterium. Its description in RNAcentral is "partial 16S ribosomal RNA". It matches the Rfam family "Bacterial small subunit ribosomal RNA", at positions 524 to 776 of the family's 1533-position model. RNAcentral also lists the same sequence under 1 other name. The record is from RNAcentral.